This 74-nucleotide transfer RNA is filed under the name Bacillota bacterium. RNAcentral's name for it is "Firmicutes bacterium (sediment metagenome) tRNA-Gln". It matches the Rfam family "tRNA". From Rfam's summary of the family: Transfer RNA (tRNA) molecules are approximately 80 nucleotides in length. Their secondary structure includes four short double-helical elements and three loops (D, anti-codon, and T loops). Lineage: Bacteria; Bacillati; Bacillota. The record is from RNAcentral.
UGCGGGGUCGGCUAAGGGGAGGCCGGGACGCUUUGAACGUCCAGGUACAGGUUCGAGUCCUGUCCCCGCAGCCA